GACGAACGCUGGCGGCGUGCCUAAUACAUGCAAGUAGAACGCUGAAGGAGGAGCUUGCUUCUCUGGAUGAGUUGCGAACGGGUGAGUAACGCGUAGGUAACCUGCCUGGUAGCGGGGGAUAACUAUUGGAAACGAUAGCUAAUACCGCAUAAGAGUAGAUGUCGCAUGACAUUUGCUUAAAAGGUGCAAUUGCAUCACUACCAGAUGGACCUGCGUUGUAUUAGCUAGUUGGUGAGGUAACGGCUCACCAAGGCAACGAUACAUAGCCGACCUGAGAGGGUGAUCGGCCACACUGGGACUGAGACGCGGCCCAGACUCCUACGGGAGGCAGCAGUAGGGAAUCUUCGGCAAUGGACGGAAGUCUGACCGAGCAACGCCGCGUGAGUGAAGAAGGUUUUCGGAUCGUAAAGCUCUGUUGUAAGAGAAGAACGAGUGUGAGAGUGGAAAGUUCACACUGUGACGGUAUCUUACCAGAAAGGGACGGCUAACUACGUG
Molecule: ribosomal RNA, 495 nt
Filed under: uncultured bacterium
Lineage: Bacteria
Description: partial 16S ribosomal RNA
Rfam family: Bacterial small subunit ribosomal RNA
Source: RNAcentral